This 226-nucleotide long non-coding RNA is filed under the name Elaeis guineensis (African oil palm). Its description in RNAcentral is "long non-coding RNA (EGUI_LNC074564)". Lineage: Eukaryota; Viridiplantae; Streptophyta; Magnoliopsida; Arecales; Arecaceae. The record is from RNAcentral.
UCCCGGAACUAGAUACCAAAGUACCUUUCUGACGGACGUAGUACUCUACCGGAUCUCCUUGAUGGUGCUUUUACAAUGAAUUCUGGAUUUGAUCUAAUCAAAUUUGAUUCUAUGGGUUCACUAAAUUGUGUUGGUUCUUCUACCUGUCAAAUUUCAUAAGUUCCAUAUUAAACGCAUCAGUACCUUCACCAAGGUACUCUUUUUUCUGAAAGAAAUGCUGAACAAC